This 718-nucleotide ribosomal RNA is filed under the name Prorocentrum micans. RNAcentral describes it as "partial 24S large subunit ribosomal RNA". It matches the Rfam family "Eukaryotic large subunit ribosomal RNA", at positions 23 to 671 of the family's 3401-position model. Lineage: Eukaryota; Dinophyceae; Prorocentrales; Prorocentraceae. The record is from RNAcentral.
ACCCGCUGAAUUUAAGCAUAUAAGUAAGCGGAGGAUAAGAAACUAAAUAGGAUUCCCUCAGUAAUGGCGAAUGAACAGGGAUCAGCUCAGCAUGGAAAUUGGGGCCCUCGGCUUGAAUUGUAGUCUCGAGAUGCAUCGCCAAUGGAGGCGCAGAUGUAAGCCUCUUGGAAAAGAGCAUCAACGAGGGUGAGAGUCCCGUUUGUCAUCUGCAGUCCCCCAUGCACGGCGUGCCUUCUAAGAGUCGCGUUCCUCGGAAUUGGAGCGUCAAUUGGGUGGUAAAUUUCAUCUCAAGCUAAAUAUUGGUUCGAGACCGAUAGCAAACAAGUACCAUGAGGGAAAGGUGAAAAGGACUUUGAAAAGAGAGUUAAAAGUGCCUGAAAUUGCUGAAAGGGAAGCGAAUGGAACCAGUGUUGCUUGGCGAGAUUGUCGUACGUAUUCGCGUGUGGUGGUUCUUGCCUUGUGUGUCAACGCCAGUUCGCGAUCGAGGAAAACUCCAAGGACAUGGUAGCCUACCCCUGGGUGGGUGAAUGUGCUUGGUAGAACUCAUUUGCGGACUGUUUCCUUCGUGUCUGGUUGCAGUGCUGCUUGAUCCUCUGUUGGCGCUUGGGGUGGGAGCUCGCUCCUCACACCCUGCCCUUCUAAGGUUCUCAGCGCUUCCCUGACACAUAGACGAUGACUAAAUGGUUCUAUUCGACCCGUCUUGAAACACGGACCAAGG